Molecule: ribosomal RNA, 747 nt
Filed under: uncultured archaeon
Lineage: Archaea
Description: bacterial SSU rRNA
Rfam family: Archaeal small subunit ribosomal RNA
Source: RNAcentral
AAUACAUGGCGUACUGCUCAGUAACACGUGGACAACCUACCCUCAGGUCGGGGAUAAACCCGGGAAACUGGGUAUAAUACCCGAUAGAUCUCGGCUGCUGGAAUGCAUCGAGCUCUAAAGCUCCGGCGCCUGAGGAUGGGUCUGCGGCCUAUCAGGUAGUAGUGGGUGUAGCGUACCUACUAGCCUACGACGGGUACGGGUUGUGAGAGCAAGAGCCCGGAGAUGGAUUCUGAGACACGAAUCCAGGCCCUACGGGGUGCAGCAGGCGCGAAAACUUUACAAUGCCGGCAACGGCGAUAAGGGGACCUCGAGUGCCAGGUUACAAAUCUGGCUGUCGUGAUGCCUAAAAAGCAUUGCAUAGCAAGGGCCGGGCAAGACCGGUGCCAGCCGCCGCGGUAACACCGGCGGCUCGAGUGGUAACCGUUAUUAUUGGGUCUAAAGGGUCUGUAGCCGGCCGGAUAAGUCUCUUGGGAAAUCCAGCAGCUUAACUGUUGGGCUUUCAGGAGAUACUGUCUGGCUCGAGGCCGGGAGAGGUGAGAGGUACUUCAGGGGUAGGGGUGAAAUCUUGUAAUCCUUGAAGGACCACCAGUGGCGAAGGCGUCUCACCAGAACGGACCUGACGGCAAGGGACGAAAGCUAGGGGCACGAACCGGAUUAGAUACCCGGGUAGUCCUAGCCGUAAACGAUACUCGCUAGGUGUCGGCCACGGUGCGACCGUUGUCGGUGCCGUAGGGAAGCCGUGAAGCG